UACGGAGGGUGCGAGCGUUGUCCGGAAUCACUGGGCGUAAAGCGUGCGCAGGCGGUUUUGUAAGUCAGAUGUGAAAUCCCCGGGCUCAACCUGGGAACUGCGUUUGAAACUACAAGGCUAGAGUGUAGCAGAGGGGGGUAGAAUUCCACGUGUAGCAGUGAAAUGCGUAGAGAUGUGGAGGAAUACCAAUGGCGAAGGCAGCCCCCUGGGUUAACACUGACGCUCAUGCACGAAAGCGUGGGGAGCAAACAGG
This 253-nucleotide ribosomal RNA is filed under the name uncultured bacterium. RNAcentral's name for it is "partial 16S ribosomal RNA". It matches the Rfam family "Bacterial small subunit ribosomal RNA", at positions 524 to 776 of the family's 1533-position model. The record is from RNAcentral.